AAUAUGUUAAACUCGGUAGCUUAGCGUCAGCAGCAACAGAACUUAAGCAAGGCGUUCCACAAGGUUCUAUCUUAGGACCCUUGUUAUUUAUACUUUAUAUAGAUGAUAUAUGUAAUAUUCCUUACACAGAAAAACUAGUCAUGUACGCAGAUGACACGAAUGCCUUUUUCAGUGCUGAUACAAUGGCCGAUCUUCAAGUUACUGUAUCUAAUUAUUUAAGACACCUGGAACUGUGGCUCCAUGAAAACAAGCUUGACUUAAACGCAGGGCACCACGCUGGAAUGUGUUAAAACGCAAAAAUUUCUAGGAGUAUGGUUUGAGGAAAACAUGCCGUGGAAUACGCAUGUGUCAAAACUGGUCUCUGAAUUAGGCAAAACUGUAGCUUGCAUGUAUAAGCUAUCAGACCUUGUACCAUUAUGGCUUAAAAAGGCUAUAUACUACGCCCAUUUCUAUUCUCUGUUAUCUUAUUGCGCCCUAGUAUGGGCAAAAACGUCUGCACAGAACCUCAACAAACUAGAGAUGUUACAGAAAAAAGUUCUUAGAAUAUUAAAAAAUUUUUAUGGGCUUCCCUUGCGAACUACGUACUCAUCAGCUCUUUAUAAAUCAUGAUUUUAUUAGAGCACGUGACCUUUACGCAUAUAAACUAAUACUUUAUACUCAGAAAAACAAACUUCAUCUGCAUUCAGUUGACAGCUCAUGUCGAUACACUCUCCGAAACUCUCCGAUACACUCUCCGAAACCAACUAAGAGCAGUUCCCUUUUCUUGCACACGUUACGGAGAAUGCCUUCUACACCACCAGAUACAAACAGUAUUGAACAAAUUUUAACUGGUAUUGACUUCGAACUGCCUGAACGUAAAUUCAAGAAACAUGUGCGAAGUAUGUUGCUACAGAUAUAGAAACUGCUCAAAUAGCACUAGAUAUCUUAUGUUAUCAUGUUUUUAUCACGUGUUCUUCUUUGUAUAAAAAUUGUUGUUUUUGCGCAUGUGCGUACAAGAUUUGUGACCCAUGUGAAAUUGUGUGUUUAUUUUGUUCACUAAAAGGAAAACAACUAAGCUUUUAUUUUGCCUAUGCAUGUACAGUGAAUUACGCGAUAUUUUUGUAAAAUGCCUGCUGCUCUUGAAGGGUUCUUAGGCUCUCUCAAGAUGUCUCCGACAUCUUUUCGCCUAAGGACCUCCGACUUGAUGUUGUUGGAAAUAAACUUGACUUGACUUGAUGAUG
Molecule: long non-coding RNA, 1220 nt
Organism: Rhipicephalus microplus (southern cattle tick)
Lineage: Eukaryota; Metazoa; Arthropoda; Arachnida; Ixodida; Ixodidae
Source: RefSeq, a predicted model, not a curated record